RNAcentral lists this ribosomal RNA (717 nucleotides) under Chaetothyriales sp. Its description in RNAcentral is "SSU rRNA". It matches the Rfam family "Eukaryotic small subunit ribosomal RNA", at positions 100 to 830 of the family's 1831-position model. Lineage: Eukaryota; Fungi; Ascomycota; Eurotiomycetes; Chaetothyriales. The record is from RNAcentral.
AUUAAAUCAGUUAUAAUUUAUUUGAUAGUACCUUUACUUGGAUAACUGUGGUAAUUCUAGAGCUAAUACAUGCUAAAAACCUCGACUUCGGGAGGGGUGUAUUUAUUAGAUUAAAAACCAAUGCCCUUCGGGGCUCUUUGGUGAUUCAUAAUAACUAAACGAAUCGCAUGGCCUUGCGCCGGCGAUGGUUCAUUCAAAUUUCUGCCCUAUCAACUUUCGAUUGUAGAGUAGUGGUCUACAAUGGUUUUAACGGGUAAGGGGAAUUAGGGUUCUAUUCCGGAGAGGGAGCCUGAGAAACGGCUACCACAUCCAAGGAAGGCAGCAGGCGCGCAAAUUACCCAAUCCCGACAUGGGGAGGUAGUGACAAUAAAUACUGAUACAGGGUUCUUUUGGAUCUUGUAAUUGGAAUGAGUACAAUGUAAAUACCUUAACGAGGAACAAUUGGAGGGCAAGUCUGGUGCCAGCAGCCGCGGUAAUUCCAGCUCCAAUAGCGUAUAUUAAAGUUGUUGCAGUUAAAAAGCUCGUAGUUGAACCUUGGAUCUGGCUGAUCUGUCCUCCUAAUCGAGCGCACGGAUUCGGCUGGAUCUUUCCUUCUGGGGAACCCUAUGCCCUUUACUGGGCGUAGUGGGGAACCAGGACUUUUACUUUGAAAAAAUUAGAGUGUUCAAAGCAGGCCUUUGCUCGAAUACAUUAGCAUGGAAUAAUAGAAUAGGACGU